UGGCUAAUUGAACAGCUUGGUCAAGU
This 26-nucleotide small RNA is filed under the name Bombyx mori (domestic silkworm). Its description in RNAcentral is "ovarian small RNA-34919". Lineage: Eukaryota; Metazoa; Arthropoda; Insecta; Lepidoptera; Bombycidae. The record is from RNAcentral.